This 299-nucleotide ribosomal RNA is filed under the name uncultured bacterium. Its description in RNAcentral is "partial 16S ribosomal RNA". It matches the Rfam family "Bacterial small subunit ribosomal RNA", at positions 334 to 625 of the family's 1533-position model. The record is from RNAcentral.
CACCCCUACGGGACGCAACAGUGGGGAAUAUUGCACAAUGGGCGCAAGCCUGAUGCAGCCAUGCCGCGUGUAUGAAGAAGGCCUUAGGGUUGUAAAGUACUUUCAGCAGGGAGGAAGGUGAUAAGGUUAAUACCCUUGUCAAUUGACGUUACCCGCAGAAGAAGCACCGGCUAACUCCGUGCCAGCAGCCGCGGUAAUACGGAGGGUGCAAGCGUUAAUCGGAAUUACUGGGCGUAAAGCGCACGCAGGCGGUCAAUUAAGUCAGAUGUGAAAGCCCCGAGCUUAACUUGGGCAUUGCA